UUGUGGGACUCGGCAACCGCCCGAAAAAACCUCAGCAGUCGCUGCCCGGGACGGGCCCCAGCCCCUGAGCGGAGCGCACAAGCACACUGCAGCCCGACACACGCUGCCCGGAGAGAGCCGUGGCAGACAGAACCACGGCCACCGCCGCUGCAGCCACCCUGGGCAGGGUCGGGGUGGGAGCCAGCGCCAGCGAACUGCCGCGCUGCCUCGGCAAGUUCCUGGAUCGCCGCCCGCUACCGCUCUCAGCAGCAGCAGCCAAGCAGCGGCCAGAGGCGCGAGGUCAACACCUCAGGGAGCAGGUCCCUGAGGAAGGACCACCACCUCCGGCGCCCCAGCAAACAACGAGAUCGAGAGACCCGCGCCGGCGGAAGCAGCAGCGGGACCCGAGCGGGAACCACUCCGAAGGCAGGAAGGACCCGGAACCCGGAAACGAAAGAGGCACCGGGAAAAACAAACCCAAGCAGAGCACAAGGUCUGCAAAAACCGGGGCUAUGGAGCGUGAGCGGAGAAGAGGAUCCCACAGAAUCCCUGGGGAGCUCCGGGAAAGGUCCGAGGGAGGAAAGAGCCCAAGCGGGACCGUCGGCGAAGGAGGGAGCGAGCGGAAGCCCAGCGGCAACAGCACGAGAGAAACCCAGGAACAGAGGGACCCCAGAGACAAACGGAGUGGUGCAGACACAAAGCUGCCGACUUCAGCAGUAGUCAAAGCAACAAAAACCCCCUUCCUUGACUUUUUUCCUUUUUCUUUGCAGCCUAAACUAAGAACUGGUCUUUUUUUGCAAACCCUCUUUGUUUAUCAACCUCUUUCAGUUUAACAGUGUGAGUAAGGCGAACAAAACGCUACCAAUGGAGAGACUGUCCCUCUCCGCAAAACAAACAAACAAACAAACAAAAAAAAAAAGAAAGAAAAAAAAGGGGGAAGCGAGGGAAGCAAAGACCCUUUGCUGAAUGAAGACACCCUUCCAUAGCUAAUAGCCAGAAUUGUUUUUAAAUGUAUGCAUAGUUGUAUUUUUGAAAAUUUUAAAGUUUUCACAAUAACAAUUUUCCUUAAGUCCAAAAGCCAAAUUAACACAGAAACACAUAUAUUUGCCCUAAAAAUAGAAGAAGUAUAUAUUUUAUCCUUGAACUAUAGGAAUGUUUCUAUGUAUUUGAAAUUGAAAUUGAACAUGAAGUAACAUAUGCUUAUGUUUUUACAGGUUAUACUAUCAUAAAAAACAGAAAACAUAUAUUACUAAUCUAAGGGUGAGAAACAAAAAACGCCAAUUUCUCAGUUCAUAACCAAAAGACACUGUAAAAUGAAACCCAAAAGUAUGUUUGUAUGAUGUGUGUUCGAUGGCCAUCGAGUAUGAAUGUGUAAAUGUAUGCAUGCGUGUGAAAAUACAAUAAUUAAUAGGUUCUGAUUUAUACACAAAUGCACAUUACCUCACACAUGCACAAACAGCCUUAGAUAAAGAACAGAAAACAUAUCACCCUGAGUGGAAUAGAAUUUCAUUUGCAGAAAUGUUUUAGGUUAAAUAAAAGUUUUCAAAAACAAACACUAAAAAACACUUUCAGGUAAAAGUCAGGAGCAUACGAACCCUGAAGUCAUCAAGUUAUUAAGUUUGGUUCAAAAUCAAUCGCUUACAAGUCAAUAGGAUCUUUAGAGAAUAGCUUCAAUAAGAUUUUAUAAGAGUAAUUUCUAAUAAGAAAUAAUAGGAAUAAGCUAAGUUGUUUAAACAAGUUUUAUAAUUUAGCAUUGUUUGGAAUUUUUCCUUCUUGCAUUUUGUUCCUUGUUUACUUUUCUAUAUCCAAAAAUGUUUGAUAGUCUUUUUGAUUGGUUUAAUGUUCUUAAUGUUAGUGCUAGGAUUAAGAAGAUAAUUUAUGUAGCAAUAUGCAGAAUGCCUUAAAACAGCUGUGAUUCCUUCACAUGCCUUUAUAAUGCCAAACCUUGUGGCCCAAACUAUUCUGACACACAAUGCCUUUGCAUAAUCAUACUUUCCAUCUCAGGUAUAUAAAAGACUGUACAUUGCCUUGAAAAAGGAGCCUCCUUGCUAACAUUAAUUUCACUUGUGGUAUUAAAAGUAAGACUGCAAUAUUUCUUGUUAGAUCCACUUAAGAAUACAUUUGCUUCUAAAAUGCAGCUAUAGAAUUUGUUAUUACUCACUCUGAACUAAUGCAUCAAAGCAUUGAUAGUUGAAGAAAAAAAUAGUAAUCAAAACAGACUACAUGUUUUAAUAGCAAGAUAAAUUUAAUACUCUAGUUAAAGAAAACAAUUAUGGUAAUAUUUGUAUUCCCUUGUAUUUUGUCUUCCAUUAGCAAACGUCUGAUCAAUGUUUUUUCCGAGUUUUUUGGUUUUUAGAAAACUAAAAAAGAAGGGGCAGAUGUGGGAGCCCAAACCCAGCUUUCAGCAAAGGAAAACAAGGGCUGACAAAAACCUCCUGAUCUGAAGGAGCUGGACCCUUCUCACAAGACCUGUUAAAGUUCUACCUCAUGGAUCAAGCCUGGUUCCAGCAGAAACCGCCACUCAGAAGGUCUCAGGUGACCACGUCCUCCCUUUUGAAGCGGCCUCCACUUUGAAAAAUGUCAGUGGCCUUCCGAGCCACCUCAUCGGGACGUAAUGGGGGGCACAGAGUAGGCGUGUCGGGAAGCCUGUAAGCCCAGAGUGUCUCAGCCAGUGGAGAAACGGGCAGGGAGCAGCGCUGCGGGCAAAGGGGCUAAAAGGGGGCUGCGACCUCCACUGAGCUGAGCCACCUCACUGCCGUUUGUCCAGUGAAGUCUCCCUUUUCUUGCAAUAAAAGUUUAUUUUUUUUCGUCGGCU
Long non-coding RNA from Pipra filicauda (Wire-tailed manakin), 2794 nucleotides. RefSeq lists it as uncharacterized. Lineage: Eukaryota; Metazoa; Chordata; Aves; Passeriformes; Pipridae. The transcript has 2 exons. The record is from RefSeq and is a predicted model, not a curated record.